Molecule: long non-coding RNA, 2459 nt
Organism: Gymnodraco acuticeps
Lineage: Eukaryota; Metazoa; Chordata; Actinopteri; Perciformes; Bathydraconidae
Exons: 2
Source: RefSeq, a predicted model, not a curated record
CACAAGUAUACGCGUCACUGUGUUCAUGGUUAAGGCAAGCAGCAGCAGGGCUUCGUCCCAGCUCCAGGCAUAUAUUCAUCAGCUCCGCAGUCUUGCGGAUUAAGCUACAGGCGGCGUUCCCCAGUCGGCUAGCGGUUCCAGCCGGCCGCCCCGCAAACCCGGACGCGGGAGGAAAAGACAAGGAAAUCGGCUCCACGGAAGUUGUUCCGGCUUAAUGGGGAUGGCCUAUUUCACGCAAACAAUUGACGCACGCCUUCAGUCUCUCGAACGGGCGGAACGGGCCCUCAUCGCAUGCGAAGUUUACCCAUCUCUGGCUUCAACCACAACCCCUCCUGCAGGCAGGCAGGGCUUAAGCCACAUCCCAUUGAAGCUACUUCACCUCCCGGCUCAUAGUUUCAAGGUGCGGUCGCGUUCUAUUCAAUCGUUCAAGCGCUACUGCUCGUCACAACUCUAUUCGCUUUAGCGUAGGCUACUAGCAUGACUGGUAUUGCUCAGGGCAAUCUCGAUGACAACGGUCAAUGUUCCCCCCUUUCUACGCACGGAGAUAAUGUAAUCUUAAUAGUGCGCAGGCCAAGGCUGGCUCUUCAAAGCAGAUAUUAACAACGCGCUUUAAAGUUCCCAUCAUCCGUUCAGCAGAACUCUUUCAGCCUCAAGCGGGAGUCAAGUAAGGACAAACUACGCGUGCACCGGCUAUUCGGUUAAAUAAUGUUAAUAGUUGUCUCUCCCCAGUGCAUCACCCACUGCUCAGGGAGAUCCCCUCAUGCGUUGCCUUUACACCAUCUAGUGUUCAAAUACAACACUACUAACCUAUAACUCCGCUCAACUGGGAAAGAGAAGAAGAAGAAAGAAGAAGCGACUCCUCCAGGAGCACAGCGUUCUUAAUCACGAGGAACUAUAGGCCCAGUCACACGGAGUUCCUAGGCAUCACAUCAAACUCAUGGUAUUAACGUUCCUCUAACCAAACUGCGUGCAUCCACAUAAAAACGUCUUCAACGACAGUUGCUCUUCCUCACCGGGCAACCGUACUUCGCAUGCGGAUAAUCUUCGGCACGCCACGAUCUCCCGUUUCUGGACGUGGCAUCCGCCGGCCUCACGACGACCGCGUUUUUUCCCCGACUCUUAAGGACGUGCACUGCACAUCCUCCGUUUUGGGGGGAAUAUCUGCAUGAGAUCAUCCGCCAUAGCGGCACGCUCAGAUUUCCUAUCGCUUACACAUUACACUCGCUGGAUCUAACACUAGCGUCCCUUCAUCAUUCUCAUUUCAGAUGAUAGAAGACAGUCUUAAUCACUCAAUCAGCUCAUCAGCAUGUAUGACUCAUCGGCGCACUUAACUGCUAAUUAAGCUAUACUAGCCUAUAUCAUGGGUUAUGUCUCAGUAUUUAACUAAGUGUACGUCUUUUCUGCGUGCAUCCUGCACUUCAUUCAUAUUCUCGGGUUCAUGCUCACUUGGCUCGUGUUAAGCCAGGUUAUGAUAUUCAUGCAUCACCGUACUCAAGCUAACAGCUCUCGGGCAUUAUAUCGUCGACAUCUCCCUCUUCGCCCGGACAUCGGCUCGUGCUGCCAAUCAAGAUCCCUUCAGUUUACCUAUGGUAAAUAUGCAUAUAACUGGUGGUGGUGUCUUAAUAGCAUAUCAGGGCUUUCGUUCAGACAGGUGCUGCCAUUCAAGGCAUAUCUCCCUCAUCCCUGCAACUCGGACGGUGAUCCUCCUCCGCCUUCAUAUUCCACAUUCGCCCGGACAUCAGUGCGUGCCGGCUAUCCAAGGUCUCAAACACUAAACUUGAUCUCCGCAAUCAGCCAGUAAGGUAAGAAAUGCUUCACAUCUCAGUACUUCAUACUUCACAUCUUUUGGGGGUUCAUCGGAGCGGUUGUCCCCUCCCGAAUGAUCAUCCUGCAAACCAGGGCCUAAUCGCCAAACAUCAGUUCAUUCAUUUGUUGUAAUCUGUCAAUCACCAUUCUCUCAUAUCAUGUGUCCCGGUAAUAAACAUGUAUUUCAUGUCUCUCCUGAUUGAAAUGAAGCUUAGCGCAAGUUCAAUUAGGAAGACCAAUACCCCCUGGUGUUACACGUCAUUUCAAUACCCUCUCCUCUCCCAAUAAGUGAUCAGGGGCGUUACUCCCCAGCUAGCCAAUCAUCGCACCCGCUAACCCCUUUAAAUCUGCUCUUCCCUCUCUGUCAGUUUUCAUUUCAGGUGUCAACGCACAACCCUCCUCCACCCCUUUGCCUCCGUCUCCUAAUACAGGGCCAAGCUAAAAUCUUCUCCCUUCAGAACCGGACCGAACUACUUAUCACCACCAUCAGUGUCUAGACCCCGGGGGGUUCAUCGGAGCGGUUGUCCCCUCCCGAAUGAUCAUCCUGCAAACCGGGGCCUAAUCGCCAAACAUCAGUUCAUUCAUUUGUUGUAAUCUGUCAAUCACCAUUCUCUCAUAUCAUGUGUCCCGGUAAUAAACAUGUAUUUCAUACA